This 253-nucleotide ribosomal RNA is filed under the name uncultured prokaryote. RNAcentral's name for it is "partial 16S ribosomal RNA". It matches the Rfam family "Bacterial small subunit ribosomal RNA", at positions 525 to 777 of the family's 1533-position model. The record is from RNAcentral.
ACGGGGGUUGCAAGCGUUGUUCGAAAUUACUGGGCGUAAAGCGCGCGUAGGCGGUUUGGUAAGUCCUGUGUGAAAUCCUUCGGCUUAACCGGAGACGGUCACAGGAUACUGCUAAGCUAGAGUGUGAGAGGGGAGAGCGGAAUUCCCAGUGUAGUGGUGAAAUACGUAGAUAUUGGGAGGAACACCGGCGGCGAAAGCGGCUCUCUGGCUCAUUACUGACGCUGAGGUGCGAAAGCGUGGGUAGCAAACAGGA